AGUGAACGCUGGCGGUAGGCCUAACACAUGCAAGUCGAACGGCAGCACAGUAAGAGCUUGCUCUUACGGGUGGCGAGUGGCGGACGGGUGAGGAAUACAUCGGAAUCUACUUUUUCGUGGGGGAUAACGUAGGGAAACUUACGCUAAUACCGCAUACGACCUACGGGUGAAAGCAGGGGAUCUUGGGACCUUGCCCAAUGAAUGAGCCGAUGUCGGAUUUGCUAGUUGGCGGGGUAAAGGCCCACCAAGGCGACGAUCCGUAGCUGGUCUGAGAGGAUGAUCAGCCACACUGGAACUGAGACACGGUCCAGACUCCUACGGGAGGCAGCAGUGGGGAAUAUUGGACAAUGGGCGCAAGCCUGAUCCAGCCAUACCGCGUGGGUGAAGAAGGCCUUCGGGUUGUAAAGCCCUUUUGUUGGGAAAGAAAAGCAGCAGGUUAAUACCCCGCUGUUCUGACGGUACCCAAAGAAUAAGCACCGGCUAACUUCGUG
RNAcentral lists this ribosomal RNA (491 nucleotides) under uncultured bacterium. RNAcentral's name for it is "partial 16S ribosomal RNA". It matches the Rfam family "Bacterial small subunit ribosomal RNA", at positions 29 to 507 of the family's 1533-position model. The record is from RNAcentral.